This 425-nucleotide ribosomal RNA is filed under the name uncultured bacterium. Its description in RNAcentral is "bacterial SSU rRNA". It matches the Rfam family "Bacterial small subunit ribosomal RNA", at positions 355 to 786 of the family's 1533-position model. The record is from RNAcentral.
UGGGGAAUAUUGCACAAUGGGGAAAGACCCUGAUGCAGCGACGCCGCGUGAAGGAAGAAGUAUCUCGGUAUGUAAACUUCUAUCAGCAGGGAAGAUAAUGACGGUACCUGACUAAGAAGCCCCGGCUAACUACGUGCCAGCAGCCGCGGUAAUACGUAGGGGGCAAGCGUUAUCCGGAUUUACUGGGUGUAAAGGGAGCGUAGACGGAGAGGCAAGUCUGAUGUGAAAAGGGCGGGGGCUCAACCCCCAGGCAGCUGCAUUUGGGAAAACUGUAUUUUCUUGAGUGCCGGAGGGGGUAAGCGGAAUUCCUAGUGUAGCGGUGAAAUGCGUAGAUAUUAGGAGGAACACCAGUGGCGAAGGCGGCUUACUGGACGGCAACUGACGUUGAGGCUCGAAAGCGUGGGGAGCAAACAGGAUUAGAUACC